This 460-nucleotide ribosomal RNA is filed under the name uncultured bacterium. RNAcentral describes it as "partial 16S ribosomal RNA". It matches the Rfam family "Bacterial small subunit ribosomal RNA", at positions 338 to 795 of the family's 1533-position model. The record is from RNAcentral.
CCUACGGGUGGCAGCAGUGAGGAAUAUUGGUCAAUGGUCGUGAGACUGAACCAGCCAAGCCGCGUGAGGGAGGAAGGUACAGAGGAUCGUAAACCUCUUUUGUCAGGGAAUAAAGGCGGGGACGUGUCCCCGGAUGAGUGUACCUGAUGAAAAAGGAUCGGCUAACUCCGUGCCAGCAGCCGCGGUAAUACGGAGGAUGCGAGCGUUAUCCGGAUUUAUUGGGUUUAAAGGGUGCGGAGGCGGUCUUUUAAGUCAGCGGUGAAAGUCCGGGGCUCAACCACGGGAGUGCCGUUGAAACUGGGAGUCUCGAGUUGGUUUGAGGCAGGCGGAAUGCGCGGUGUAGCGGUGAAAUGCAUAGAUAUCACGCAGAACCCCGAUUGCGAAGGCAGCCUGCCAAGCCCUGACUGACGCUGAAGCACGAAAGCGUGGGUAUCGAACAGGAUUAGAUACCCUUGUAGUC